AAAGAAGACAUAAUAAUCCAUAGAGGAAAGGGAAAUUAGGGUGCUAAGAAUUUCUUGGUCUAUGUCUUUUAGAAGGGAUUUCACAAACUGAACCAGAAGUGGCAUUGAAGUUGAAAAUGAUUGAAGGUCUGCCCUGAAUGUGUGCCUUUAUCUGAUCACAUCUGGCAAAGCCUGUAAAAUAAGAGCAAGGAGAAAAGAGUCUUCAGAAAGUCCCUUUCAGAAAGCUUGUGAUGAGAUGAUGUGAGGGAUGGGGCAGUCUUACACUGGAAGCAAGAUAAUUGAUUUGAGUUUGUUCUGCCACUGCAGCUGGUUACAACAAGCAGCCUGCCCUCUGCAAGAGCAGAGCAAGAGCAGAGCAGGUCUGAGCACUUCUGCUGGGGUGAAGUUCUCUGGCUUUCAGUGUUUGCACAGUGAAUUCAAUGUCAACAUACACACAGACAGCAGAUCUCAGAGGAGUCAGAGGAAAGAAAGCUCCAGUGAUUUUUUUAUUGUUGAAACAAGCACUGCUUCUAACUCUGCUGGAAUGCAGCUGCACACUGUGUACUGGAAGCCUGGAUGCCAGGGAAGUGUUAAUCCCUGCAGUCGAGGAAUACUAGACAUGGAUACUUUAGUUUGUCUUCAUUUGUUUAGCUGGUCCUUGCCCCAGGCGGGGCCUAGACCAGGCUCAUGUGCUCAUUUGUGGCAACUUGAGGCAGUGAGAGCAAACUGGGGGAAAAUCCCUGCUCCUGUUCAUGGAUGCAGUCCAGCACCUGUGGCUCCGAAGUCCUGCUCACCCAUGUGUGAGCACCUUAGGCAGGGCUUUGACCCUCCCACCUGGCUUCCUGGUAAAUCUCUUAAAAAGCAAAUUCUUCAGCCUGGUGUGUGA
RNAcentral lists this long non-coding RNA (865 nucleotides) under Junco hyemalis (dark-eyed junco). Its description in RNAcentral is "lncRNA (ENSJHYG00000014720.1)". The record is from RNAcentral. Lineage: Eukaryota; Metazoa; Chordata; Aves; Passeriformes; Passerellidae.